This 253-nucleotide ribosomal RNA is filed under the name uncultured bacterium. RNAcentral's name for it is "partial 16S ribosomal RNA". It matches the Rfam family "Bacterial small subunit ribosomal RNA", at positions 524 to 776 of the family's 1533-position model. The record is from RNAcentral.
UACGUAGGGGGCAAGCGUUGUCCGGAUUUAUUGGGCGUAAAGAGCGUGUAGGCGGCCCGGUAGGUCAGCUGUGAAAACUCGAGGCUCAACCUCGAGACGUCGGUUGAAACCACCUGGCUAGAGUCCGGAAGAGGAGAGUGGAAUUCCUGGUGUAGCGGUGAAAUGCGCAGAUAUCAGGAAGAACACCCGUGGCGAAAGCGGCUCUCUGGAACGGUACUGACGCUGAGACGCGAAAGCGUGGGGAGCGAACAGG